Molecule: long non-coding RNA, 847 nt
Filed under: Mytilus galloprovincialis (Mediterranean mussel)
Lineage: Eukaryota; Metazoa; Mollusca; Bivalvia; Mytilida; Mytilidae
Source: RNAcentral
GGCAGACAGACAGACGGACCAAAUGUAAAUAGCCCGACCCAACAAGUGUGGUCGUUUCAAGUACGACACCACAAAAUUAACAGACUUUUAAAACAAAUCUAUUUCAGUAUUUCCAAACCCGUAGUUGGAUUUAUAUACCAAAUACACAAGCAAAUACCAGAAAAUAAAUAUCCAAAGGGAAGCUAAGACAACAUAAGACUCGUUCUGUCCUGAAUAUGCUUUCACUUAAAUAAUCUGUAAUCAGCAAACCAUGAAACGCAGACUCGUGGGAGGUUCAAAAUCUAGGUUGUUACCAAUACCAAGGGAAGUAAUCAGGAUGAGUUUUAAUCGAAGGAUCAAUUCAGGCAAGGGACAAGGCGUUUCUCUGCAAUAAAAUAAUUCAGUAAGAUACAACUUUUAUUAGACAACACGCAUAUGAAUCAGCUGCACAUUUAAUAAGUUACAGUUUUGCGAGUCAAUGGUCUAUUUCUGCAGUCUAUAACAAGAUUUCUUAGACCAAGAAAAUAAAUUCUUUCAGUAUCUAACUUUUUUUUAACGACUCACUCUGCCGUUCUGAUCAGGGCUUGCAUAUGGAUUUCGCUUGUUAACACUUUAAUACUUAAAUUUACCGUCCUUAAGUUCAAGUCAUAGAUUUGAGUCACUCACGUGAAUGCCAACAAAUAAUGACUCCGAACUUUUACUUGCUUUAACCCGCAAGUUAUAAAUAACUUUAACCUUAACAACUGAACAGCUGAACAGUUAACCGAAUCUCGUUAUUCGCCAACUGACAACUUUUAUUCAGUUCAAAGAACUUUUCAAAAACUCAACUCAUAAUUUAACCAGCGAACCGCUUUCUAAAUAAUUCACG